Molecule: ribosomal RNA, 745 nt
Filed under: uncultured bacterium
Lineage: Bacteria
Description: bacterial SSU rRNA
Rfam family: Bacterial small subunit ribosomal RNA
Source: RNAcentral
ACGCUGGCGGCAGGCCUAACACAUGCAAGUCGAGCGGUAGAGAGAAGCUUGCUUCUCUUGAGAGCGGCGGACUGGUGAGUAAUGCCUAGGAAUCUGCCUGGUAGUGGGGGAUAACGUUCGGAAACGGAUGCUAAUACCGCAUACGUCCUACGGGAGAAAGCAGGGGACCUUCGGGCCUUGCGCUAUCAGAUGAGCCUAGGUCGGAUUAGCUAGUUGGUGGGGUAAUGGCUCACCAAGGCGACGAUCCGUAACUGGUCUGAGAGGAUGAUCAGUCACACUGGAACUGAGACACGGUCCAGACUCCUACGGGAGGCAGCAGUGGGGAAUAUUGGACAAUGGGCGAAAGCCUGAUCCAGCCAUGCCGCGUGUGUGAAGAAGGUCUUCGGAUUGUAAAGCACUUUAAGUUGGGAGGAAGGGCAGUUGCCUAAUACGUAACCGUUUUGACGUUACCGACAGAAUAAGCACCGGCUAACUCUGUGCCAGCAGCCGCGGUAAUACAGAGGGUGCAAGCGUUAAUCGGAAUUACUGGGCGUAAAGCGCGCGUAGGUGGUUUGUUAAGUUGGAUGUGAAAUCCCCGGGCUCAACCUGGGAACUGCAUUCAAAACUGACUGACUAGAGUAUGGUAGAGGGUGGUGGAAUUUCCUGUGUAGCGGUGAAAUGCGUAGAUAUAGGAAGGAACACCAGUGGCGAAGGCGACCACCUGGACUGAUACUGACACUGAGGUGCGAAAGCGUGGGGAGCAAAC